GACUGUCCUCCUAUUUAGUUAUUUAUGAUCAAAUUUGUCCAUUUCUCUCCAGAUGAUAUAAGCUUAAGCCCUCUAGAAAGAUAAAGAUAAAAUUCUUGUCUGAUUAUUUGAUUGAUUGAACUUUAGCUUAGAGCUGGAGCCUUGGGAUCUCUGGGCAUCCAGUUGCCUAUGUACUGAUAAGAAAAGGUCAUAGAAGAUUUAGUAGGACAUUUUUUUUAGUAGCUAGUGUCACACCUUCACACACUGCCAUACCCCAAAGAAGCGAAGCCUGCGUCAGUCUCACAGCACACACUGCAAAAAGUGACACUCUAUUGCUGGGCAGGCAAUGGGAAGAAUCUUCGUUUACAUUUGUCGUCCUGGGGAGUUCUUCCUCCCCAGCAAAGCUGACUUCUGCUCCAGGAUGGAGAAUGCAAAGUGUGGACAUGAAUGGCCUCAAAGGCAGCUGUGUGGUCUUCAAUCAAAUUUUUACUGGGAAUAAAAAUCCUUUCCUUUUUGAUUAUCCAUCUUAUCUUUUUUUUUGUUUAAAGCUACCGGCCCAAAGGUAGGGAUAUUAUAUUUUUCUGCUGUGUAUGAAUUUAGAAAAUGUCACCCAUCGUUACCUAAGUAGAAAUGUGAGCUCUGCACAAGAGAUAUAAAAACUGGAAUCCCAACUCUGAUUUUGCUACACUCUCUGACUUCGACUAAAUCACUAAACUUGUCAGGAUCUCUGUUUUCCUAUACUUCUUCAUUCAUUCGUUUAUUCUUUCAUUCACUCAGAUAUGCAUUGGUUAAAUGUUUACUAUAUGCUAGGCCUUUCUAGGUUUGUAAAUAUGCCCCAGGCAAAAUGUCUAUAUUCAAGAAUUUAAUAGAUUAUGAAAAAAAGUAGUAUUAAUCAACCAAUAAAAAUAUACAAAAUAACGCAGUGAGCUCUCUAAUAAGGAUUUGAUAGGGAACAAUGCUAUUGCCCAAGAAAGGAAAUGUGAUCCUUGUCAAGAUGUGAUGCCCAACUGAUAUUUAAAGGAUGAGACUUCCAUAAGCAAGAUACAGACAACAAACAGAGGGAGAUUUUAUACACACGCACAACACACACACAAGUAUAUGAGAUGAGGUUGAAAUGAUGAAGUCGUGAGGUAAGUUUUACGCAUUGUAAGGAGUUUGAACUUGUCUUAAAUAUAGUUUUAAAAAUCCCUUUUUAUUUUCAGGAAAAGGAGUGGCAUGAAAGAAUUAAUUGGUUUUAGAAAAAGCUCUCGAAAAAUGAGGGAGUUUAGAUAAAAGUAAAGCUGUAAAUUUCCAGAAUGUAAAGAUUUCUGAUCAAUAAAAUUCAC
Molecule: long non-coding RNA, 1304 nt
Filed under: Homo sapiens (human)
Lineage: Eukaryota; Metazoa; Chordata; Mammalia; Primates; Hominidae
Description: HSALNT0070606
Source: RNAcentral